RNAcentral lists this ribosomal RNA (468 nucleotides) under uncultured bacterium. RNAcentral describes it as "partial 16S ribosomal RNA". It matches the Rfam family "Bacterial small subunit ribosomal RNA", at positions 28 to 507 of the family's 1533-position model. The record is from RNAcentral.
GACGAACGCUGGCGGCGUGCUUAACACAUGCAAGUCGAACGGAAAGGCCCUGCUUUUGUGGGGUGCUCGAGUGGCGAACGGGUGAGUAACACGUGAGUAACCUGCCCUUGACUUUGGGAUAACUUCAGGAAACUGGGGCUAAUACCGGAUAGGAGCUCCUGCUGCAUGGUGGGGGUUGGAAAGUUUCGGCGGUUGGGGAUGGACUCGCGGCUUAUCAGCUUGUUGGUGGGGUAGUGGCUUACCAAGGCUUUGACGGGUAGCCGGCCUGAGAGGGUGACCGGCCACAUUGGGACUGAGAUACGGCCCAGACUCCUACGGGAGGCAGCAGUGGGGAAUAUUGCACAAUGGGCGGAAGCCUGAUGCAGCCACGCCGCGUGCGGGAUGACGGCCUUCGGGUUGUAAACCGCUUUCGCCUGUGACGAAGCGUGAGUGACGGUAAUGGGUAAAGGAGCACCGGCUAAAUACGUG